UGUGUACUCCCUCCGUUCCAAAAUACUUGACUUCCAUUUGUCCAAAAAUGGAUGUACCUAUAUACUAAGACAUGUCUAGAUACAUAUAUAUUUUAACAAAUAGAAGGCAUGUAGUAUUGUGCAACGGAGGGAGUAGAAU
Triticum aestivum (bread wheat) is the source of this 139-nucleotide non-coding RNA. The record is from Rfam. NCBI's taxonomy places the organism in Eukaryota, Viridiplantae, Streptophyta, Magnoliopsida, Poales, Poaceae.